This 501-nucleotide ribosomal RNA is filed under the name uncultured bacterium. Its description in RNAcentral is "partial 16S ribosomal RNA". It matches the Rfam family "Bacterial small subunit ribosomal RNA", at positions 30 to 523 of the family's 1533-position model. The record is from RNAcentral.
AUUGAACGCUGGCGGCAGGCCUAACACAUGCAAGUCGAGCGGGGGAAGGUAGCUUGCUACCGGACCUAGCGGCGGACGGGUGAGUAAUGCUUAGGAAUCUGCCUAUUAGUGGGGGACAACAUCUCGAAAGGGAUGCUAAUACCGCAUACGUCCUACGGGAGAAAGCAGGGGAUCUUCGGACCUUGCGCUAAUAGAUGAGCCUAAGUCGGAUUAGCUAGUUGGUGGGGUAACGGCCUACCAAGGCGACGAUCUGUAGCGGGUCUGAGAGGAUGAUCCGCCGCACUGUGACUGAGACACGGCCCAGACUCCUACGGGAGGCAGCAGUGGGGAAUAUUGGACAAUGGGGGGAACCCUGAUCCAGCCAUGCCGCGUGUGUGAAGAAGGCCUUAUGGUUGUAAAGCACUUUAAGCGAGGAGGAGGCUACUCUAGUUAAUACCUAGGGAUAGUGGACGUUACUCGCAGAAUAAGCACCGGCUAACUCUGUGCCAGCAGCCGCCGCGG